AAGUCGUAACAAGGUAACCGUAGGUGAACCUGCGGAAGGAUCAUUACAACGUAUCCACGUAUAAACCUUUGUGAACCUGUUUAACCUGCAUAAUGCAGAAUCGCAAAGCGUCAACGAUUCGGAAUCAGAGCUGACGCCCGCCUAUCCUAGCGAUAGGGGAUUCUUCGUUGUGUUUUUCCGUUACACAUUAACCACUGUAACUUUCUAUGUACUAACGGUUCUAGGCGAAAGCCUUUAAUCGAUAAUAUAAGAAAUUAUAGCACAACUCUUAGCAACGGAUAUCUAGGCUCUC
RNAcentral lists this unclassified non-coding RNA (292 nucleotides) under fungal sp. RNAcentral describes it as "partial internal transcribed spacer region". The stretch from base 1 to 46 matches the Rfam family "Eukaryotic small subunit ribosomal RNA", at positions 1786 to 1831 of the family's 1831-position model. The record is from RNAcentral. Lineage: Eukaryota; Fungi.